This 500-nucleotide ribosomal RNA is filed under the name uncultured bacterium. Its description in RNAcentral is "partial 16S ribosomal RNA". It matches the Rfam family "Bacterial small subunit ribosomal RNA", at positions 30 to 523 of the family's 1533-position model. The record is from RNAcentral.
AUUGAACGCUGGCGGAAUGCUUUACACAUGCAAGUCGAACGGCAGCACGGACUUCGGUCUGGUGGCGAGUGGCGAACGGGUGAGUAAUGUAUCGGAACGUGCCCAGUCGUGGGGGAUAACGUAGUGAAAAUUACGCUAAUACCGCAUACGAUCUAUGGAUGAAAGCGGGGGAUCGCAAGACCUCGCGCGAUUGGAGCGGCCGAUAUCAGAUUAGGUAGUUGGUGGGGUAAAGGCCCACCAAGCCAACGACCUGUAGCUGGUCUGAGAGGACGCCCCGCACAACUUGAACUGAGGCACGGUCCAGACUCCUACGGGAGGCAGCAGUGGGAAAUUUUGGACAAUGGGCGAAAGCCUGAUCCAUCCAUUCCGCGUGCAGGAUGAAGGCCAUCGGGUUGUAAACUGCUUUUGUACAGAACGAAAAGGUUUCUACUAAUACUAGGAGCUCAUGACGGUACUGUAAGUAUAAGCACCGGCUAACUACGUGCCAGCCGCCGCCGUAA